GUGUAUAUUCGGCAAAACACUCUAAAGAGUGUGACGCAAAGCUAUAGGGCCUGUAAAAUGGUAGCCAGUUGUACUU
Regulatory RNA element from Coprococcus sp. CAG:782, 76 nucleotides. It matches the Rfam family "c-di-GMP-I riboswitch aptamer". Rfam says of the family: GEMM was predicted in a large-scale screen for bacterial structured RNA regulatory elements. Genes associated with GEMM are involved in a diverse array of functions, including chemotaxis regulation, signal transduction, secretion and chitin. The record is from Rfam. NCBI's taxonomy places the organism in Bacteria, Bacillati, Bacillota, Clostridia, Lachnospirales, Lachnospiraceae.